UAAAUACACGUUAAAAAAAAUUAAACUGCUUUAAAUCAUUAAAGUAAUACAUUCACAUUAUAUCAAAUUAGUAAACUGUUAAUGAUUUAGUUUCUUACAAUGGAUUUCAUAGCUCUAAUUUAAGUUCUAGAUGUCGCAUCUAGAUGUUGCCAUGAUGAAGUAAUUGAACUUGUUCAUUCUUUUUAUAACUCUUGUUCAACAAUGAUUCCAUGGUUCCAGGAGCAUCUGGAGUAGACACAAGCAGAGGAGUCAGCUGCCAUACUUUUUGAACAAAGUUGUUCUUCCUCUGCCUUUAGGCAAAAUAUAGAUAAGCUCUGGCAAACGUAUUUCCCGGGAACAAAUCUUAUUAAGCUUUCUGAAGUUUAGAAUUCUCGCCAACUACUCUGAGGUUUCUUAGGUCAGUAAGUAUUGAAUCAAACGUCUUGUAGUUUUCGUUUGUUUUGUUUUCAAGAUCGGAGUAACAGAUACAAGAGAGUAAAAUAUAUUUAUUCGAAGCCCAUAAAUUUCAUCUUCUGUGUAGCUGCUUAUCAAGGAAGAUUUUGAGCAGACAGGAGACAUCACUCUGGUGAAAGAAAUCUGUAAAGUGGGUACAUUGUUGAUCAUCGGGAAGGAUAGUCAUGAGUACUGUCUAUGCGGGAAGCUAUAAUUAUGGUCUAGAAUUUUUAAAAUAUAGACUGGGAUAAAAAUGGAAAUGAAUGAGCAAAAGAUUAUUUUGGAAGAAUAAUUGACUGUUUUAGGCAAUUGAUUUGGACAUGAAGGUGAGGAAAAUGAAGGGAUCAAAGAUGGCUGUAACUUCUGAGCCAGGGAGCCUGGAAGAAUAAUAGUAUUAAUGAAAGAAAUGAAUAAGUUGAGCAAAGCAAUCUUUAUGAAUUCAAAUUUAUAUAUAAUUAAAAUAAAAGAGAUAAAGUAUAGUUGAUUUUUUUUUCUAUGUGUUUUCAGUAGCAAUUGUACAAGAACAAACAGAAGAAACAUUGCAUUGGAUCUUCCUUUGUUACUUAUUUUUGAAGAUUUAUGAGAUCAGACAAUAGAAGGCGUGCCUUCCUGGAUUUUAUGGUUUGGAUUGUGCUCACAUCUGUGACUGCAAAAAUGGAGCCAGUUGUGAUGCAGUGAAUGGACAGUGCAUUUGCCCAGCAGAUUUCCAUGGCAGCCAGUGUGAAAAAGAGUGUUCACUUGGAAUGUUUGGAGACAAUUGCCAUCAACUUUGUGACUGUGAAUGAGAAAGUUCCUGCCACUCAGUAACUGGAAAAUACUUCUACCCACCUGAGAAAACUGGAGCCACAUGUGAUGCUGAAUGCAGGUCAGGCCAGUAUGGAUCGAACUGUGCUCUGAAGCGUCAGUGUAUCCACAGAGCUCACUGUAACUCUCAUGUUGGAAGCUGCACUUGCCCCUCAAAGAGAAUGGGUCCAACGUGUGAGGAAAAUGAUUUGGGCGAGCCUCAAUAACCAAAUACUAGCAGCUUUUCAGUGGGUGAAUAGAAUGUUGCCAGGGUUCACCCAUGGUUCAUCAUCUUAACUUUGGCAGAGAAAUGUACUUACUCAACAACUAUCUUCGGCCCAGCUUCGCCUGUUGUGAGGUGAAAAACAGGACGUUUCAACUUUAUGGCUUCCAAAGACAAGUUCCAUUCUCUAACCUACCCUUCCCAACUGCUUUUUGCUGAAGAACAUGCCCAAGAAAAAGAAUGUUUUUUCAAGAUCCCAAUCAUAGUAACAUUUUGGACUAAUAAAUAAAACUCUUUUUUUUUUUAUAUGCACAGGCGGUAUUUAAAUUUGGAAUGAAGAACUGCUUCUCAGUUCAGGUUGGACUGCACUGAAAUAUUCACACCUAUUCACCGAAGACCUCAGUGGCUAUUAAGUAGCUGGAUCCUCUUUAGAAAUGUCUAGAAUUUCAUCUAUUUAUUCUCAGUAUCCUGCUUCACAGUUCAGUCUGCUUCAGAUUGUUAAUGUAUUGUAUUUCAAACAUGACUUUUGGUGUGGGAGACCAUUAAGAUGAAGCCACAUAAAAAUCAGUGUAAAAUUAUGAUGUGCACACUUAUAAUGAAUCAUCAAAAUGUUUAGUGGUGUUCUCCCCAUCAAUGGUCAGCCUACAGGAAAAAAGUCAGUGAGCAAGGCAAGUUCUUAGCCAGCCCUUGGAGACAGAUUUCCCAUAGAGAAGGGCCUGCUGGGAAUUAGGCUUUUAAUCCACAUUGGUAUUCUUCACCCAAAUUGCUCAUCAACCAGUGUCUCUUGGCUAUACCUAUCUGACCUGCAAAGAGAAUAAGAUAUAUAAAAACAACAUUCUCUUUUGGGCUGCCAUCCACCGCUGGACUCCCUUCAUUUCAAGACUUAAAAAAAACAGUGACUACAGAGAAAAGAAGCAAGAAACCAGAUUUCUCUUCCUUACUAGAGAUGUUAUCUCCUAUUAA
Molecule: long non-coding RNA, 2401 nt
Organism: Herpailurus yagouaroundi (jaguarundi)
Lineage: Eukaryota; Metazoa; Chordata; Mammalia; Carnivora; Felidae
Exons: 6
Source: RefSeq, a predicted model, not a curated record